AGGCAUGCAAUUUAACCCAAAGUUACAAAAAAAUGGAAACAAUGAUUUCAUACUUGGUAGGAAAGGCAAUAGGGACAAGUAUUACACAACUAUGAUAAUUUUAUUGAAUUGUAACGUCCCUAAAUUUAUUCUAACACUUCCACUGACUAAAACAAGAAAAACAUAACCAUUUCACAUUAAACCCAGAUUCAUUUCAUUAUGCACAGACCUAAUCUUUAAAGAUUCUCGCUCAGCAUUAACUGAAUUAGUCGACUAGCAGUAGAAAUUAGACCCUAUUUAAUUCCCAUGAUCCCUUAGUUAUUUGAAUCAAUUCAAAUCCAAACCAUGUAGCUAGCUUGAUGGAUUGCAAGCUCUUAGAUAGGCCUGUAGUUGAGCCCAAUGAGUGAAUACCUCAAGCCCAUGAGCUGUCAGUUACCAAACCAAAGCAUUCAAACAAAAACAAAUAUGCAGGAAACAAUUGUCUUGUUGAGUAAUAAACAAGUUUCAAAUCAUACUUUUACAAUUUACUUUAUACAACUGAAUCUACCAAGUUUGCAGUAACAAUAGACUAUGAAUCAAUCAAUUACAUGUCCAUGAUUAAACAUUCCUGAAUAAUACUCAGCUGUGAAGUAACAAACAAACUUGAUCCACAUUAUCAAAAUAGCUACUCUAAUGACUACAAUUGAAAUUUCUAGUGGUGAUCUUCCAGAAAUAUGCCGGCUUUUCCAUGUCUAUUGACAAUCAGACUUCUGUUUCAGCUUUGAAAUCCAUGGAUCUAACCAUGUUAAAGGUCAGAUUCAUAAACAACAUGGAUUCACACGUGAGACCUACUGUAUUACCAAACAAACUCAACCAAUAGAUGCCAGAAUAUUGGACAAGAAUGAACAAAAAGAAACAGUGUACAUAAGCUGAAAUAAACAGAUGGCCAAUGCUGUAUUUAACACACAUAAGAAAAUAUAUUUUCAUGGUAUAGGGACACUAGAUGAACUGGGAGUUACAUAUUCAAAGAAAAGCUCAAAUAUUGUUACAUUUAGGUGGAUGAAUCACAUCAUAAAAGGAGAAAACAAGCACACAUCAUUGACAGAAAUAACUUGCAUUUAUCUUUAAUAACAGAUUUACAAAUACUUAAGCAUAGGGUAAAAUGUGUGCCUAGUUGCGUAAAAUUUGAUUCAAAAGUGCUAAGUGAAAACAGAUAGUUCAGCAGCCCAAGAAAACAACAGUAUACACCAACCACAUCUUUAGUAUCAGCUCAUAUCUUAGCUCAAGAACCCAGAAACUCAAGGAAAAUUCCUUCCAAAUUUUUGUAAAGAGAAGGAAAAUAGGAAAGCUGGAAGCUGUAUUUUUGUUUCAGAAGAUUUUGAGGACUGUAUGCUGAUGAAUGUGUGUGUGUGUGUGAGUGCAGGUUUUCUUUGCUUUUUAUAGAGUGUCUCUAAUAGCAUCCAAAAGAAUAUUCUUAACCUAAAUUCUGAAUAGUACAUCAUACUGUGACAGAGAAUAUUGGACAACUGUCCAGUUUUUCAGCAUAUUUUUAACCAAUUUUGGAUAGCUGUUCCUUCUAGAACCUUCCUUUUCCUAGAUAUUUUCUUCUAAAAUUUAUGAAAUUUUCCUAAGUUUCUUUUUAGUUUAAUUAGGCCUUUACAAGUCUAUAAUGACUUACAAAUUUGGCAAACAGGGACAUAGCACACACAAAUCAUAAUCCAAAUCAAAAUGAUAAACAAGAUAAAAUAAUGCAAUUUAAACCUAAAGUAUUGAAACUUUGAAAACCUAGACUAAUCCUAAACAGAUCUCAUAAUGCAAUUGAGAACUUAUUACUAUGAAGAGGGAAAAAACCUUUCAAAUUUAUCAGUAAGUAUGUUUAGAUGAUUCAACUAAUAUAAACAACCAAACAAACAAUGAACAUCAAAAUAUAAGAAAAAGAAAAGAUACUGCAACUAAACCUAGAUUCAUGCAAGCUAAACAAAAGAAAAAUAAAAGAAGAAAAAUGGGAAAGAAAAUACCCAAACGGCUUGGACUAGUCACAAUUCGGAGCAAUUUUGAUGGGGGUAAAAUAAACCUAAACUAACAUCAAUCGAUUGAUCUCAUCAAGAGCAAUCGACUGAUGUAAGUCAUGGGUCCAAGGACCAACCUCGCAUGCCCAAAUCAGAGGCCAGAAACAAAACUAGGGUUCCAAAAUCAGAUCCAGAAUUAAUGAAGUAAGGAUGGGGGUUUUGGGAAAUCGACUAUGAUUUAAGGUUUAGAGGUGUGUGAGGAGUGCGGGGUGUUGCUUUGGGGUGGUUUCGUCGAUUUAGGGUUUUGGGUGUGAGUUUCAGAUUCAAAAUUACUGGAAUUUAGUGGGGGGUUUUGGUGAAAAGGUUGGUGGAUAAGUGAAGAAGGGGGUCUAGGGAUUAUGGGAGGUGAAUUUGAGGCGGUUUGGAGGUACUCCGCCGCCAUAAGGCGAUUUUCGGGCGGCGGAGAGAGGCGGAGUUGGCGAGAGAUUUUAGGGCGGCUAGGGUUAGUCUCUGAGAGAGAGAAAAGAGAACGGGGGGGGGGGGGGGGNNNNNNNNNNNNNNNNNNNNNNNNNNNNNNNNNNNNNNNNNNNNNNNNNNNNNNNNNNNNNNNNNNNNNNNNNNNNNNNNNNNNNNNNNNNNNNNNNNNNNNNNNNNNNNNNNNNNNNNNNNNNNNNNNNNNNNNNNNNNNNNNNNNNNNNNNNNNNNNNNNNNNNNNNNNNNNNNNNNNNNNNNNNNNNNNNNNNNNNNNNUUUUUGGUUUCGUGGGUCGGACCCUAAAUUUAGAAACUACCCUAACCCCUUUCUUUUUGUUUUUCUUUUAUUGUUCUUUUUCUUUUCUUUUUUCUUUUUUUGUUUCUUUAAUUUUAAAACCCUAAUUAAAUUAAUUAAGUCCUAAAUUAAUCUAAUCAUAAAAUCGAACUAAUUAUCUAUUUAUAAUAGUUAAACCUAAAUUAGUGAAGGGAAACUUACUAAUCUAGUAUUAAAAGCUAAAAAUGUAAAAGUGAAUGAUAUUUUUUUGAUUUUCAUUUUAAUAAAGCAAAUAAUUAACCAAUUAAUCAUAAAACAUGAACACAAAAUUUAAUAUGCACUACAUGAUAUUUUUUGAUAUUUUUGGGACAUUGUUUCAUGAUUUUAACAUAAAACAUGAACACAAAAUUUAAUAUGCAAUGCGUGAUAUUUUUGGGACAUUUUUUCAUGAUUUUAUCAAAAUUAAACGUGCAAAAAAAUGCAAACAAUUAAUAAAAUCUUACAAAAAUUCUAUAAAAUUGAAAACAAUUUGGAAAAAAUCUAUUUCUUUAAUUUUGUAGGAGUAUCUUUUAGUAGGGCAAAAAUCUCAUGCUCACAGCUGCCCCUCUUUGCUCGGAAACACGAAGAGUUUUGGGGCAAAAAUAAAAUUAGCAAUUACGAGUGAUUUUGUCCUUAUGGAUAAUCCCUGGGAAGCAUUUUUUGGAAAACAUCUGAGCGAACCUUGCUUCGGAGGUUGCCUACAUAUCCUUGGCUAUAAAGGAAUCAGGUCAGUGUAGUUCUAGAAGUUUUGGUAGCUGGGACUACCGAGAAACUGUGAUUUCACUGCUGUUGCUGCUGUUUCUACUUGAUGAGCUCCUUAUUACACCAAAAUGAAAAAUGAAAAACUAGCUAACUAAAUAUAUCAACUACGAGUUACAAGAUUCCUAUCUAUAAACCUUCUGAAGCUUGAUCUUGAGUCUUGGCUGGUUCUUCCUACAGACUCCGAUCUGAAUCUUGAUGCUCGUUAGCUGCGAAUGCUGGUUCAUUUUUCUUCAUCUUUUCAGAUCAAGGAGGGACAUGCAAAGCUUGUCACUUUAAUCAUAUCUUGAGCAGUCCACAUCUUUUCUCCGCUUCUACACUUAGAGUUCACUUCUUUUCUUGUUCUUCUUUUCUUUUAUUUGGAUUGAGAUUUCUUCUUUUGGUCAUCUCAAACCUCGUGCCUCAUGGUUAAAACCUUUUCAGGCACCAAAACUAACAAACGAACAAAAUUUUUCUGUCUCCGUUUUCACUAAGAAAAUUUCGUGAGUUAUUGUAACAAAAAUCUAAACUACUUCUUUAUUGAAAGCAACAAAAAUCAGGAUUGUGUAUCCUUGAGAAAAAAAUAUUAGGGAAUGGAGACCCUGUAUCUAACAUGAAAUCAACUGGGGAUUGGAGGCCCUAAGUUGGAAAGAUUACUAGGUUAUGCUGGCAUCAACUAAGGAAUGAGACCCUAUAUUGGAAAGAUUACCAGGUUAUGCUGGCAAAGUCAUCGGGUUAUGCCAGAAAGGUCAUCAGGUUAUGCCAGAAAAUCAUCGGGUUGUGCCAGAAAAUUCAUCGGGUUAUGCCGAAAAAGUCCUCGGGUUAUGUCAGGAAAGUCAUCGAGUUAUGCAGGAAAUGUCCUCGGGUUAUGCUGGGAAAGUCAUCGGGUUAUGCCUAAAAAGUCCUCGGGUUAUGCCGGGAAAGUCAUCGGGUUAUGCCGGAAAAGUCAUCGGGUUAUAUAGGGAAAGUCAUCGGGUUAUGCCGGAAAAGUCCUCGGGUUAUGCCGGAAAAUUCAUCGGGUUAUGCUGAAAAAGUCCUCGGAUUAUGCCAGGAAAGUCAUUGGGUUAUGCCAGAAAAGUCCUCGGGUUAUGCUGGGAAAGUCAUCGGGUUAUGCCUAAAAAGUCCUCGGGUUAUGCCGGAAAAGUCAUCGGGUUAUGCCGAAAUCAACUAGGGAGUAGGGGCCCUAUGUUGGGAAGAUUACCAGGUUAUGCUGACAUCGACUAGGGAAUGAGACCCUAUGUUGGAAAAGAUGUAGCUAGAUAUUGGAGACCCUAUGCUAUCAUGGUUUUGAAUUUUUCUUCUUCUUUCUUUUCAUUUCACUUUUCAUUUUAUUUAGGAGAAUGAAUAAAGAGUUUGAAGGGGACUUCCCUUUUAAGGUUAACUUUUGCCGCAGAAUCGUUUUGGUCUCUGCGUACUUUGCUUUUAUCGCACCUGCUCCUUGCGGAGUUGUUUUGGAUUGUGCCUGUUUUCCUGUUUUCAAAUCAAAGAACAUUUUGUCAGUUUGAAACGGUGGUUGGUUUUGUGUCCUUAGUUGUUUCAAUCACUUGAUGUUGGCCCAACUCUUUCAAUAAAAGUCUUCAUUGCUCGCUGGCUUUCUGGAAAUUGGUGUCAUUUCUACAACCGGGAAUCUUGACUUUUCCCAAAUUCCCCAGGAUGACUAACCCGUGUGGGGCAUGUCCUUUUUCCAUCUUAUUUUGCCUUUAUGGGAACUUCACUUUGAUUUAUUUUCUUUUCAAGAGUUUUUUUGGCUCUGGAGCAUCGACCAUCAUGGCCAGUCGAGGUCGACUUAAUGCACCUGCUGAGGCUGGGUGCUUUCUUGAAUUUUAUCUUUUUGUCAAACAAAACCCUGUAAAACCAAUCUUGCCAUUUUUGCUUUGUAUUAGUUUCGGAGGAGAAUUAAACCGAAAGGGAUUCAAAGAAAAGUAAACAACAGACAGGAUAAUGAAUUUAAAUGAGAAGUGUCCCUUUCGGGGAAAGGAAAGAAAGACUUAUCUAGAGUGCAUGCAGACUUCAAUAGACAUGACAUGCUUCUUGGACUGGAUACCCGAUCUGUGUAAACCAUCUAACUCUCAUAAACCUUUCAUAACUCAUAACUUAAAAUCGAGAAACCUUGCCAGGACUCUAUCAGUGCCGAUGGUUGUAAGGGAUCCUUUUUCGAUCAGUGGCGUCCUUUGCGGGUUUUCGCCACCUGACCUCUCACAUUUCUCUUCUCACCGUCGUCUUAUAGUGCUCUUUGCGAGUUUUCACUAACAAGACUCUCUCAUUUUCAAUUUCUCUAUUCACCAUCGCCUUAAGGUGGUUGUAUGGGUUUUAACCAAUAGGACUCUCUCAUUUUAUUUCUAUCAUUUGAUUGUAUCAGAUCCAAGUAACCAUAUCCUCCAAUUUUGAACAUCUUUACCGAUUGAUCGGAAGGACUUGAACAUGGCUUGGGGUAAAAAAUGUUUGGAUUGAAUUACAACUUUGGAACCUCUUAGGUGAACUAUCGCCAAGCCAUUAUAACUUCUGCCCUAGUUUUACUUUUGGGGAAAUGUGGAUUUUUAUUUUGGUGUGACCGAACCCCAAAGAGAGGCUGCCUACGUAUCCUUUCGGAAUUAAGUCGAACGUAGUUCAGGAAACUUUCUUUUUGAUUUUCUUUUUGUUUUUUGUUUGUUCGUUUGUUUUUUUUACAACACUUUCAGGUUCUAAAGAGGGUAAUCAAAGAAAGGUAACUAGCUCAAAGGGUUUGCAAAGGGUUAACAAUGUUUGGGUAGCGAGAAUGAAAGCCUUCGUCAUCCCAAUCGGAGAAUAUUAGUAUCGCAGAAGGGUUAAACGUAAUACCUUUUGCCAGCGUCCACAUUGACAGUUGUUUUGGGAUCAUUUCCUUCGAUGUAUCCAAGUACAAUGUCACUUUCGGCAACAAUUUCCUUAUAAUGCACGGACCUUUCCAAUUUUGAGCGAAUUUUCCUUUUGCUUCCUUAUGAUGCGGGAGAAUGCGUCUCAAGACGAGUUGCCCCACUUCAAAGUUCCUAGGCCGCACGUUUUUAUUGUAGGCACGGGCCAUUCUUUGUCGAUACAACUGCCCGUGGCAAACAACGGCCAUCCGCUUUUUAUCAAUCAGGGUUAACUGUUCUAGACGGGUCUUGACCCAUCCAUUAUCCUCAAUCUCAGAUUCAACGAUGAUUCGAAGGUAUGGAAUUUCAAUUUCUACGGGUAUUAUAGCUUUAAUUCCAUAAAUCAAUAGAUAGGGUGUUGCCCCAACUAAUGUGUGCACAGUGGUGCGAUAUCCCAACAAUGCAAAAGGCAACUUUUCAUGCCAUUUUCUAGAACUUUGAAUCAUUUUCCUGAGGAUGUUCUUGAUGUUUUUGUUUGAUGCUUCAACAACACCAUUCGCUUUGGGCCGAUAAGGGGUAGAAUUCCAAUGUGUGAUCUUAAAUUGUUUGUUUACCUCCCUCAUCAAAUGACUGUCAAAUUUGCAGCAUUGUCCGUAAUGAUAGUUUUAGGAAUAUCAAAACGAUAGAUAAUGUUGGAAUGCACGAAGUCCACCACUGCUUUCUUGGUGACGGCUUUGAGAGUGACUGCUUCAACCCACUUUGUGAAAUAAUCAAUGGAAACUAAGAUGAAUCUGUGCCAAUUGGAAGCUUUCAGUUCGAUUGGCCCAAUGACAUCCAUACCCCAAGCAACGAACGACCACAGUGCCGACAUAUGAUGCAAUUCUAAAGGCGGUGCAUGAAUCAGGUCACCGUAUACCUGAUACUGAUGACACUUUCAGACAAAACUGAAACAAUCCUUUUCCAUGAUCAUCCAGUAAUAACCUGCCCGAAGGAUUUUCUUUUCAAGGACGCAUCCGUUCAUAUGGGGUCCGCAUACUCCUGUGUGCACUUCAUUCAUGAUUUUUCCAGCCUCUUAGGCAUACACACAUCUUAGAAGGUUUAGAUCUGGAGUCCUUUUAUACAGGACUUCUCCGCUCAAGAAGAAACUACCAGCGAGCCUUCUAAUGGUUCUCUUUUGGUCUCCACUAGAUUGUUCGAGAUAUUCCUUUGUUUUUAAGAAUCUUUUGAUAUCAUGAUACCAUGGAUGAGCAUCUUGUUCUAUCUCAAUUGUAUUGCAAUAACCAUAUCUUUCUCGAAUUUGGAUUUUCAGUGGGUCAAUAUGGACAUUGCCUGGAUACUGCAGCAUUAAGGCCAAAGUAGCCAAUGCAUCGGCUAACUCAUUGUGAAACCAAGGAAUGUACCUGAACUCGACGGAUUUGAACCACUCGCUAAGAUCUUCCAUAUGUUGCUUGUAUGGGAUAAGCUUGAUAUCUCGGGUUUCCCAUUUACCUUGAGCUUGUCGGAUAAUCAAGUCAAAAUCUCCCAUGAUUAACAAUUCUUCUACAUCCUGAUCAACCGCCAUGUUCAUGACCAUAAUGCAAGCUUCAUACUCGGCAGUGUUGUUCAUAUAGAAAAACCGAAGCCAGCUAUUGCCAGAUAGUGCUGACCAGUGGGCGAAAUCAAAAUUGCUCCAGUCCCGACACCUUUUGCAUUCACAACUCCGUUGAAGAACAUUUUCCAAGCAUUGGUGUCUUCUAGAAUUACCUCAACUGAAUUUACCUCCUUGUCCGGAAAGUAAGUACUCAAGGGUUGAUAUUAAUCAUCAACAAGAUUCUUAGCUAGGUGAUCUGCCAAGGCUUGAGCUUUUAUUGCCGUGUGGGUGACACAAACUAUGUCAAACUCGGUGAGCAGGAUUUGCUGUUUUGCUAACCUCCCUGUGGGCAUCGACUUUUGGAAUAUGUACUUCAAAGGGUCCAGCCUGGUGAUGAGAUAGGUGGUGUAAGCCAACAAGUAAUGCCUAAGCUUCUGAGCGACCUAAGUUAAGGCGCAACAAGUUCUUUCCAAAAAAGUGUACUUGGCUUCAUAACUAGUGAACUUCUUGCUCAAAUAGUAUAUGGCUUGUUCUUUCUUCUCAGUCACAUCAUAUUGCCCGAGAACACAUCCAAAAGAAUUCUCCAACACUAUCAAGUAUAAGAACAAAGGCCUUCCAGGCUUGGGUGGGAUCAACAUUGGCGGAUUCGACAUAUAUUCUUUGAUUUUAUCGAAAGCUUCUUGACACUCCUUUUUCCAUCUAAUCGCCGUAUCUUUCUUCAACAACUUAAAUAUGGACUCACACGUGGAAGUCAACUGAGCAAUAAAUCUGAUAAUGUAAUUCAACCUACCCAGCAGACUCAUAACCUCUAUUUUGGUUCUCGAAGGGGGCAAAUUUCGAAUAAAAUUUAUCUUUGUUGGAUCUAGCUCGAUGCCUCUCUGACUGACUAUAAUCCACAAAAAGUUUUCCAAAUGGAACUCCGAAUGCAUAUUUAGCUAGAUUUAACUUCAAGUCAUACUUACGCAGACGCUCAAAGAACUUUCUCAGAUCCCUUACAUGGUCGUCCUGCGUUCUGAAUUUAAUGAUCACAUCAUCGACAUACACCUCAAUUUCUUGGUGCAUCAUGUCGUGAAAGAUGGCAGUCAUAGCUCUUAUGUAAGUUGCCCUAGCAUUAUUUAAACCAAAUGGCAUGACCUUGUAACAAUAAGUACCCUAAGGUGUGGUAAAAGCCGUCUUUUUUGCGUCUUCUUCAUCUAUCAGAACCUGAUGAUACCCAGCAUAACAAUCUACGAAAGACUGUUUCUCAUGUUUGGCACAGUUGUCAACAAGGAUGUGAAUGUUUGGUAAUGGAAAGUUGUCCUUGGGUUUGCUUUGUUCAAAUCCCGAUAAUCAACACGCACUCGGGUUUUCCCAUCUUUCUUUGGCACCGGGACCAUAUUAGCCAACCAUGUGGUGUAUCGUACCACUCGGAUCACACUCGCUUUCAACUGUUUGGUGACUUUUUCUUUGAUCUUGUCACUGAUGUCUGUUUUAAACUUUCUCUAUUUUUGUUGUACAGGUGGAUAACCGGGGUAAGUUGGCAAUUUGUUCACCACUAAAUCAACACUUGGUCCUGGCAUAUCAUCAUAGGACCAGACAAACACGUCCUUGAAUUCGAACAAAAGUUGGAUCAAUGCAUCCCUAGUUCUUUCAUCAACGUGAAUGCUUAUCAUGGUUUCCUGGACCUCUUCCGAACUACCCAAAUUAACCGACUCAGUUUCAUUUAAGUUUGGCUUAGGCUUAUUCUCAAAUUGUUCUACUUCUCGAUUUAUUUCCCUAAAGCCUCAUCUUUAUCAUAUCCUGGUUCUUGAUUCAUUAUUUUAUAGUUAGAUAACGUAUUAAGAUCUGGGCAUGAAGUCCACAAACAUGUCAUGUUAUUUAAGCCCGCAUUAUUAGAACUGAAAAGAGAGAUAAGAAAAAUAACAAAAAAUCAGAAAGAAUAAAGAAAGAGAUUCAUAGACGAUGAAAUAUUGAUUUCAUUUCAUUGAAUUUGAAUAUAGAAGGGUUUACAUCGAAAUUUAAAAGACAAUAAACUAAAAACAUUCGAGUUACACCCUGAAAUAACUUGGAAUGCAGAAAAGAUGGCAAGACUGAACUACCGGGAUUCCCGCCUGAAUGGGAACAAAGUAGCCUUUCAAUUUUGAAGUUUGGCAUUUAUCCCAAUAUAUUGAACCUCAGUAGUGCUUGAGCCUUCACCCAACUGGACCAUGUGAGCCUCAUAUAACAUUUGCCUAAUUGGCCCACAAAUGUCCUCAAUUUCUUCGUCGUGAAGGCCUCUUCUUCUUCUUCUUCUUCUCUGUACCUUGGCUUAACAAACGUUCUGGCGAGAUGUGGGACCGGCUUAGGUAGGACCCACCCAUUGUUCUUACGUUCAUUAGCCUAUUUUACGUCGGGUUUUGUAUCUUGGAAACCAACGCCAAAGAAUUUCUCACUGUAGGUCAAAGUGAUGGGCUCUGUAAUGCCUUGCAAAGAUAUCCCGAGCCCUUUCCUGGGCUUGUAGCCAUGUUAGAUCAUUUCACUGGCGACCAUGAUUGACGUGUUUGACAAGAAGUGUUGAGAACAUGGGGUUCCUUCCUCACAUUGGUCCGUGACCACGAUCUCAAAAGCUUGGUAGACUAUGUGUUCGCUACCUUCUUAGCCUCCAGACAUGGGACUGACGGGUCCUUGUAGAUUGAUUGCUCAUCUUCUCCGUGGACCACGAUUUCUUGGUCUUCAUGUUCAAACUUAACCAUUUGGUGAAGAGUAGAGGGUACAGCUCCUGCAGCAUGGAUCCAAGGCCUUCCUAGGAGAGAAUUGUAGGAUGUGUCCAUGUCCAAAACCUGAAAUGUUACUUCAAAAUCCACAGGGCCGAUGUUUAGGAUCAAAUCAAUCUCCCCUAUCAUAUCCCUCUUCACACCAUCAAAAGCACGUACACAAACAUUGUUGGGUCAAAUUAUUUCAGUCCCAAUUUGUAUUCUCUAUAAGGUCGAGAGAGGGCAGAUGUCAACCCCAGAUUUGUCAUCCAACAUAACUCUUUUCACGUAGUAUCCUUCACAUUUAACGGUCAAAUGAAGAGCUUUGUUAUGGGCAGUCCCUUCUGGAGGCAAGUCAUUUCGGCUGAACGAAAUCCGGUUGACUUCGAAAAAUCAUUCCGCCAUUCUUUCCAAUUGUUCAACCGUGGUGUCGACUGGAACAUAUGACUCAUUAAGCGUCUUUAAAAACACUUUUUAAUGCUCAUUCGAGCUUAUCAGGAGGGACAAAAGUGAGACCUGAGAGGGGGACUACCUAAGUUGAUCACUCACAGCGUAGUCCGAGGUUUUCAUCUUUCGGAAGAAUUCCUUUGCCUCUUCAGCACUGACUGGAUUUUUAAGCGGAAAACGCUUCUAUUUGGUCUUGUUCAAUUCUUUCAAGUUGAGGUACUUCCCAUAUGGGUUCGUUUCAUUCACUUCCCCUAUGAUUUCCUUUCCCUUGUACGUCACCAUUGCUUUAUUGUAGUUCUAGGGGACGGUAGUGGUGUCCUUCACGAGAUUCUGUAGUGCGCGGCUGAUCACCACGUGCUCAGUCAGCCUAGGUAAAAUUAUCAGCCCCCGCACCACAUAAGUCCCCUUUGGUACGUACAUCUUUGGCACCUUCAGCAUAACCUUGUUUCAAACCUUUUGGGGGGACUCAACAUGAACUGUUCCUUUUUGGGGGCCCUGGGAACAUAAAAAAUGGAAUCUUUAGGAGGUACUGCCCCUGUCUUGGCUUCUACAGCCUUUUCUAUGCUUUGAGGAGUGGAGUUGCUCUUCUUCUCAUCCUUAGCUUGCUUUGUUGUUGCUUUGGGCUUCUUUUCAACAUCGACAAUAGCAAUGAUAGCUUUCAUAGCUGGGUUGAACUCUCUGUCCUCACAAAUCAUCCCAACAACUGGCCCGUUGUUGUGAGCUGGUAAUGGAUUAUUGGUUACCUUGGGGACCUCCUCAUCCAUCAACACUACCCGUUUUUGCUCUAUUAGGUUUUUGACCGCCCUUUUAAGGGUCCAGUAAUCCUCAGUGUCAUGCCUUUCUGCCCCUGAAUGAUAAGCAUAUCGGGUACCGGGUCGGUAGGAGGGUGACUCUGUGUUUUGCCUGUUUGGAGGUACGGGAUGCAACAAACCCAUUUGGACCAACUUUGGAAAGAGGCUGAAAUAUGAUUCACUGAUGGGUAUGAAGUUGGUUUUUCUGGGUGGUUCACGGGCAUGAGUGUUAUAUGGAAAAUUAUUCUGUGGCGGACGAGGAUUAUAUGAAGCUUGGUGAGGAGGGUUAUUUUUGGGAGGUGGAGCUCGAUUCUGGUUAUACUGUUGUUGCAGCCGAGCGUAUGGCUGGGCAUUCAUUACUACAUACAGUUGAGGAGUCAUGGCAUAUGCCGUGUCUUGGUGAGGGUAGUAAUGUUGCGGGGUUCUUGAAGAGGAACCAAAGUAAUCUCGGGGUUGACGGUGGUUACUUGAGGCCAUCAUUGCCACUUCUUCUUUCUUUUGCUCUGGAUUGCUUGAGAAGUAGCUCUUAUAGCCGACUGGCUCAAGAUGCGACCCGGUUUCAAACCACUUUCCACCAUCUCCCCAAUUUUUAUAGUUUCUGCAAAUGGCUUGCCCAUAGCGGAAAUCAUGUUCUGGAAGUAAUCAGCCUCUUGGGCUUGCAAGAAGACACUGACCACCUCGGCCUCAUCCAUUGGGGUUUCACCCUAGUUGCUUGCUCGUGCCACUUGAUAGCAUAUUCUCGGAAGCUCUCCGAAGACUUCUUUUUGAAAUUGGACAAAGAGUUUCUAUCUGGAGCUAUGUCCAUAUUGUACUGGAAAUGUCUGACAAAGUCUCGGGACAAGUCAUCCCAUAUGUGCCAGCGGGAGAUGUCUUGGUCCAUAUACCAUUCAGAUGCAAUUCCGGCUAAACUCUCCCUGAAGUAAGCCAUCAAGAGUUCUUUUUUUUCGCCUGCUCCUCUUAACUGAUUGCAAUACCUCUUCAGGUGAGCUAUGGGGUCCCCAUGUCCAUCAUAUUUUUCAAAUUUGGGAGUCUUGAAACCUAUGGGCAGAUGAACAUGAGGGAACAUGCACAAGUCAUCGUAUGACACACUCUUCUGACCACUUAGGAUUUGCAUGUUCUUGAGACUUUGUUCUAUGUUUUUCAUUUUCCGAGUGAUCUCCUCUUGCUCGGGAUUCUUUACAGUUCUCUUUUGUUCCAUGGUAGAUUCAUACCGAGGUUGUUGAGGGUAGGAGUUUGGGGUGGCAUGAGCCGUGUCGAAUUGAAAUGGUGGUAAUUGGAAAGUAAAGGACAAUGGCUCGACACCUGGCCUGGGUACUGUUGGCUGCCGUAGUAAUGGUUGGUGGUGUGGUGAAUAUGUUAGAAGACACUCCCGAAAUUAGUGCCUGGGGGCGAACUUCAGAAGGCGUUCUGGCCAAAUGGGCUGACAUAGUGGGGUAUCCAAAUGGGGUGGCAGGGUAGUUUAUAGGAAUGUUGGAGGUUCCACUUAUUCUGGGAAUCAACUCGGGAAAAACAGGUAUUGCACUAGGUGGCUCUCUAUCGUUAGACCAAGUGUCCCACAUUUCCAACAUGCGGAGGCGCAGUGUCCUGUUCUCUUCAAUAGUUGCUGACUCUAACGCCGGGAUAACCGACAAUGAGCUAUACUCUUAGGGGGUAAUUGUUGUUAGAUGACUCUCUAAUAUGAUUUUGACACUUCCUUUGGAUCUUGUAAAGUAAGGGUGCGAAGCUAGGUUACCACAAAACCAACCACCUAAAAUACAGAACUUGUUCUCAACAGCAUACACAACAAACCGGUUAGUUUGAUACAAUUAAAACAUAGGGAAUCGCACGUUGGGGAAUGCAAUGCACCUAGACAGUUAAAUAUUUUUCUACAUGGUUUUCAAUGGUUGCGUGUCUCAUCCCGGCUUUUGUGACCUCCCAGAUCUUUGAAUCUUUUCUUUUCUUUUGCGCUUUUUCAUUAUUUGCUCUCUUUUCUUUGUGCGCUCUCUCUCUCUUUCUUAUGCCCUAUUUUCAUCAUUUUCUCUCUUAUUUGAGUUAUCUAAAGCCAUGACCGGAUAUGAUGGGGAUUUCCUACUUAUCACGAUGCCGCACGAAUCAGAUUAUUACGUAGUUCAGGGGAUAAAUGAGAAAUAAAAGAAAGAAACAUUUUUGGGUUUUCAAAUUUUCAUUAAAUAAAAACUUUUGAUUUUCCUCUAUUACAACGACUCCAUCAUACAGACUUUAGAACUAAAAAGCAAAGAAAACAGACUCAAAGUAAACUAACAGACUCUAAAAGAAACUGAAAUACAGACUCGAAAAGAAAAAUCAAGAAUACAUAAGUGCCUCCAAAACUACUCCAGUGGCCCGCGGGACAUCAGUCGGUCUCAAUGCGGGCCUACGUGCAAGAUCUCAUUAGAGGCAAUCCAGGUCGUCCAUUAUCUGGCAAAUAAAAGUCAUCACUGUGGCGAAGAAAGUGGAUCUAGUCAUAUCCUCGCACUCAUGGCAUUUCAUGACGAUAUAAUCAACAAUUCCUCUAAUCCUUUCUCUAAUGAUGCCUUUCUCUUGGAGAAGGCAUCCAAUUUGUUGAGAUCUAGCUUCCAGAACUUGGGUGUCAUUAUGGCUUUGCUCCUUGAACUGUUGCAUCUCCUCUUCCAGUCGAGACAUCAAUGCAUAACAAUGUUCCUCUCUGCCUUGAAGUUCUUUGUCUGUUUAGCCAUUUCAUUCUCGAGGGUAGUUAGCUUUUUCUUUAGAUUUGUGACCUCUCUAUCAUAUUUUCAUUUUAAUUGAUGAACAAACCCUGCCCGUCCUUCUGUGUUCUUCGCCUACUUUGCCCGGGCUCUUGCUAAUCUACCUUCGGACUUUUCCAAAUCAGUCCCAUACUCACAUACUUUCUGCCUAAGACCGUUUAUAAGUCUUUCAUAUGUUCUUCUCCUCUCCAGGUUUUCAGCAGCUAUCUUCAUCCUUUGAAUCUGGGCUCGGAGGGCUUCAUUUUCUCGAGCCAACUUUUUCUUCUCUCCUUCAUCAGCAGCGGCCUGCACACUACUAUCAAAUUUGAGAUCUUAGAUUUGCCCUUCUAAUUUGCUUAUUGUAACCCUGUAGCUUUUCUCCUUUGCUAACCAAUCCCAUUGUUCUUGUGCCCCAUCAGUGAAUUGUUGUACGUGGAGCCUUUUGGCGGGACGUUCAGGCUCUUGAUGGACUUGAACCCUUUUACUAUACCAGACCAUGUAUCUAGGCUCUACCUCACCCUUGGACAAAUCCCGUACUCACGUCGGUGGCUCCAGGAACCUACACUGAUGCCAAAUCUGGCAAACUUUUUCUUCCGGAAAUGCAUCUUUUGGACCUAGUUCAAUGACUUGUCGACUCAAAUCUUCAUCAUGAGGGAUAGUUUGGUACCUUCCCAGCUAGCGCAGAACCUUGUGUGGAGCAUACGACUGAAUACUCUGAAAACCCAUUAAUAAAAAAAAAGCAUACUCCGGCCGAUAUAUAAAUGACUUCAGUGACCAGAGCUAACCGAAUGUCCACUCAAUUUUGCUUGCAUUUAAGGAACCCAAAUGUGCAAACCAUUCCUUUGUACCUUCUAGAAACUCAUGACCAUUUACCCGGUUUUCAUGUUCCUCAAUGCAGUUGAGACCAGUCAGACCAUAGUUCACGUACCCCGAACAAUGACAAAGAUAUUCUUCCAUCCAUAUUUGUAAAAGCAAGUUGCGACCUUCAAAAUAAUUUCCCCCAGCUCGACAAAAAGUUAAAGCUCGGUAAAUUUCUGCUAGGAUCAUUGGUAUAAUAGUGCCAUUAGCCUUUUUGAUCAUGAAGUCAGCCAGCCCUACGAGCCCCAACUCUAUAUGUCCAUCACUCAUUGGGUAGAUUAGGGUGUCUAAGAAUGCCACUACAAAGGCCAGUCCCGACGGGCUUCCCAUUUGCCUUUGUUCCCUUGAUGACUUAAACUGGUAUUCGGAGCCGUAAAACCGUGGGGGUCCCCAUAACGGCAGUACAUGAAGUAAUAUGUGCAAAAUCCUUCAGCUAAAUUUCCAUCUUUGACUUUCCGACUAAUACUCAGAAGAUCCAGAAACUUGUGAGAGGUUACAGCCCUUGGUGCCACUGGGUAUCGGCUCCUUAGAUUCUCGUUAAGGCCAACAUAGCCUGCUAUCUCCUCAAGUGUAGGGGUUAACUCAAAAUCAGAGAAAUGGAACACAUUGUGCGCCGGGUCCCAAAAUGGUAUCAGAGCUUCAAUUAUGUCUAACCUUGGUUUAAUCUUCAAGAGACCAGUGAGCCCGCUUAAAGCUUAUAUCGCAACACCUCUGCUGACUUCCCCCCAGGUCAUUCCACCAUAUAUGGAGUCCUAUGGGGAUUUCCUCUACAACUUUGAAAGGUACAUUUUCAAUAGUGCUCAUCCUGCACAUUUAUUUAAAGAAAUCGGUUAAAAACAUGAUUUAUUUUGACCUAAAAGGAAGAUUAUUAUUUUUUGCAAAAUUGCAACUCAAACAACUUGCUCAAAACAAAACAUCUUUGCAAAUACGACACUUCAUCACUUCAGGAAAGAAGAUUUUAGGGUUGUGAUUGCUAAUUGGCCAAAAAUUAAAAAAAGACCAUAGGUGGCUAUUCUUGCAAAAAUAGUUUUCUGGUGCCCUGUCGGGACAUUUUUGGCUAAUCGCCUAACUUUAUUUAUGACAAAAAUGAUAACAUUUCAUAUUUUUGGGUUAUUUUUGCAAAAAUGGGGUUGGACCCGAUGAGGGUUACCUACAUAUCCCACAUACGGUGAGAAUCAAACCUGCGUAGUUCAGGAAGUUUUGACGCAACAGAAAAACAUGAAAUAUUUUUUGAAACAAUUUUCCCUUCUUUUCUCUUUUUUUUUCUCUUUUGUUUUCAAAAUUUCGGCAGAGUUUCGGUAUAUUUUGGACACCAGAUUUUUCAAAGGCGGGUAAUUAUCUCUCUCAUACCUCAAUUUAAUUUUUCCAACUUUUCUCCCUUAUUCUAGAAGCCGGUCAACAUGCAAUCCGAGGCAAAUAAGUGUACAAGUAGCAAGUAAAAUGCACCAGGAUGGUCUUUUGAUUUCGGGUGCACCUGUCCUAAACGGACCCAACCCCUGUGUUGAGUCCCCAAAGUCAAAUGCACAUGAUGCAAACAAGCGUUUCUACUAAGGAUCCGGCAUGAGGCUAUGUUAUUCUAGGUUUAAAAACUUGGAUUUAUUUGUUCUAGACAUGGCUUACCCGAGCGGACAGCUCGAGCCGAUGGGGGCAGCGUACCGGGAAUACAGAAGCUUUACCGGCUUUGCAACUUGUCCGAGCCUCGUUCUAAAAUUGAGAUAUAGCUCUAACAGAAAAGAAGUCACACGAAGUGCACACUUCCUAGAUGAUUUAGAAGACUAAGAGAGAAUCUCUCGAGGGUUUCGUAAUAAUUUAUAUAUAGUUCAAAUAAUAUCAAAGUGGCAUUCAACACAUUAGGCUCAAACAUGUAGAAACUAGAUAAUAAAAAAAGCCAAGUAUAACAGUUAUUCUUAGCUCGAAUUCUUGAACAUUGAACUAGAAGUUCUGGGUUCUUAUCCCCAGCAGAGUCGCCAGAGCUGUCACACCUCCUUUUUACACCCGAGGGGGAUAUAAGGGAAUUUUUCCAAUUAAAGUGACAUAAAUCGAAAUGAAAUUAUUUUAUUUAUCUAGAGUCGCCACUUGGAAUAAUUUAUUUGGUGUCCUAAGUCACCGGUUUAUUUUAAAUCCCAAAUUGAGGAGAAUUUUGACUUUAUUUAAAAGUCUGUGAAACCAAAAAUUUUAGGUAAGAAAUUCUGUUAACCAGGGAGAAGGUGUUAGGCAUUCCCGGGUUCCGUGGUUCUAGGACGAUCACUUAACUAUUAAUAAUUGGCCUAGUUAUCUGAUUUAUUACAUGUUUUAAACCUAAUGUGUAUUUUUAACUUUAUAACCGCUUUUAAUUAUUUUAAACCACUUUUUAGGGCUUAUGGAGUUAUUUCUUGAACAAGUUACGAUUAUCGUACACUUGCCAUUUUGGAACAAACCGCAAACCACGUUACAUAAAAUGCACCCACAAUUCGCGAUAUGUUUAUUCUAUUAUUGUUCAAAAUGGUUAUGAUUGGGUCACAUGAAAUGCACACCCGAAUUUAGGAUUAUGUAUCACGACUAUGCCACGGGAACCAUACCCAUAGUCACGAUGAUUUAUUAUAAACACGUCUAAAGCAAACUACGAAUGUUCAAAGUAUUUUCUACACUAGUUACGAAUGUUCAAAGUAUUUUCCACACUAGUUUUGGUAUUAGUGUGAGAGCCAUAGAUUAUGGAAUUCAUUUGUGGAUGACACACCUCAAUUUAUCUUAAAAUUCAAAGGAUUGUACUCAACUACUAGUAAUUCAUUAGUUAAAGUCGAUGUUUUGUCAAGUUCACGCAGCAGAAUUAGCUGAGCCCACUAAAUUUCCCUUGUUCAACUUCAUUUUGAUAGUAAUGGUGAGGCAUGCAAUUUAAUCCAAAGUUACAAAAAAAUGGAAAAAUAUUUCAUACUUGGUAGGAGAGGCAAUAGGGACAAGUAUUACACAACUAUGACAAUUUUAUUGAAUUGUAACAUCCCUAAAUGUAUUCUAAUACUUCCACUGACUAAAACAAGAAUAACAUAAUUAUUUCACAUUAAACCCAGAUUCAUUUCAUUAUGCACGGACCUAAUCAUUAAAGAUUCUCGCUCAGCAUUAACUGAAUUAGUCGACUAACAGUAGAAAUUAGACCCUACAUGAUCCCUUAGUUAUUUAAAUCAAUUCAAAUCCAAACCAUGUAGCUAGCUUGAUGGAUUGCAAGCUCUUAGAUAGGCUUGUAGUUGAGCCCAAUGAGUGAACAACUCAAGCCCAUGAGUUGUCAGUUACCAAACCAAAACAUUCAAAUGAAAAAAAUAUACAGGAAACAAUUGUCUUGUUGAAUAAUAAACAAGUUUCAAAUCAUACUUUUGAUAAAUUACUUUAUACAGCUGAAUCUACCAAGUUUGCUGUAACAAUAGGCUAUGAAUCAAUCAAUUACAGGCCCAUGGUUAAACAUUCCUGAAUAAUACUCAGCUGUGGAGUAACAAACAAACUUGAUUCACAUUAUCAAAAUAGCUACUCUAAUGACUACAAUUGAAAUUUCCAGUGGUGAUCUUCCAGAAAUAUGUCGGCUUUUCCAUGUCUAUUGAUAAUCGGACUUCUGUUUCAGCUUUGAAAUCCAUGGUUCUGACCAUGUUAAAGGUCAGAUUCAUAAACAACAUGGCUUCACACAUGCGACCUUCUGUAUUACCAAAUAAACUCAACUAAUAGAUGCCAAAAUAUUGGACAAGAAUGAUCAAAAAGAAAUAAUGUACAUAAGCUGAAAUAAACAGAUGGCCAAUGCUGUAUUUAACACACACAAGAAAAUAUAUUUUCAUGGUAUAGGGACACUGGAUGAACAUGGAGUUACAUAUUCAAAGAAAAGCUCAAGUAUUGUUGCAUUUAGGUGGAUGGAUCACAUCAUAAAAGGAGAAAAUAAGCACAUAUCAUUGACAGAAAUAACUUGCAUUUAUCUUUAGCAUCAGAUUUACAAAUACUUAAGCAUAGGGUAAAAUGUGUACGUAGUUGCUUAAAAUUUGAUCCAAAAGUGCUAAGUUAAAACAGAUAGUUCAGCAACCCAGGAAAACAGUAGUAUACACCAACCAGAGCUUCAGUAUCAGCUUAUAUCUUAGUUCAAGAACCCAAAAACUCAAAGAAAAUUCCUUCCAAAUUUUUGUAAAGAGAAGGAAAAAAGAAAAGCUGGAAGCUGGAUUUUUGUUUCAGAAGAUUUUCAGGUCUAUAUGUUGAUGAAUGUGUGAGUGUGAGUGCAAGUUUUCUUUUCUUUUUAUCGAGUGUCUCUAAUAGCAUCCAAAAGAAUAUUCUUAACCUAAAUUCUGAAUAGUACAAC
This 19682-nucleotide long non-coding RNA is filed under the name Nicotiana tabacum (common tobacco). Its description in RNAcentral is "long non-coding RNA (NTAB_LNC003947)". The record is from RNAcentral. Lineage: Eukaryota; Viridiplantae; Streptophyta; Magnoliopsida; Solanales; Solanaceae.